Molecule: non-coding RNA, 255 nt
Filed under: Clostridium chromiireducens
Lineage: Bacteria; Bacillati; Bacillota; Clostridia; Eubacteriales; Clostridiaceae
Description: T-box sequence
Rfam family: T-box leader
About the family: Uncharged tRNA acts as the effector for transcription antitermination of genes in the T-box leader family.
Source: RNAcentral
UAAAAAGCAAUGAAAAGAAGAGUAGAUAAAAUAGUUCAUUUUCAGAGAGCUCUAGCUGGUGGAACGGAGCAAUGAAUUUUUAUUGAAGAAGAUCUUGGAGCUGCACACUGAGUCUGCUUUGCAGAGGUAGGAUGUGACGGUAUACCCCGUUAUAGGUAUAGAGUAUCUCAUUUUUUGAUGUACUUGAAGAGGUGUAUACGGCAACGCAUACAUAAACUGAGGUGGUACCACGAAUUUAUAACUUUCGUCCUCAAG